UUUUGCUGAUCAGCCAGGGAACACAGCUACAACCCACAGAACUGUGUCUUCGUCAGUGUCUUUCAACAGCACCAGUUCGUUUCCAGGAUCUAAACUGGGCGCAGUGUCAGUCUGACAACAACUUUUAUCACGCCUCUUCAUGGUUUGAUGCUUUCCAACAAUGUGUCACUGUUAGUUUGUGAUUUUAACACCAAUGAUUGAAGGCUCCAGAAAAGCUUCUAAAUGGAUCUUGAGGGUCAAGGCAGAUGUUUGCCCACACGGAGUCGGAGGAUUCUCCCAGUUAAAGUCUCUGUGGGAUCCCUCAUCUUUCCCAGGGGCCAGAUGGACGAUGUAAUCCCUCCAGUGUGUCCUUGGUCUGUUCUGGGGUGUCGUCCCAGUUGGUCAUGCCUCAGGACGUCUCCGAACCGAGGAGUGUGGCCUUUUCAACCACGCCUGUUGGCUCCUCGCACAGCGAAAGGAGCGGUGAUUCAGCGUCGAGGUUUUUCAGAAUCACUGAAGCUCAGUUUAACAGGCAGACACCAGCCAGCCGGCGGAGAAACCUCAUUACAGCCGCUCCUACCUGCGAUCUCAUUCUCUCUGUCACUAUUCAACGAGGACGUGAACCAGGGCCGACGGUUCAAUUGAGAGUUUUACUCUUUGGGCUCGGCUCCUGACUUUCCCCACCGCAUUGUGAUGCAAAGCCUCGCCGGCCAGUGGCCCUAACCGACCAUCAAUCUCACAGCCCCCUCCGUUGCUCCACAGUACGCCGCCGCUCUGUGUGGCAGCUGCUCCCUCCUCGAGGAGAAUGAGAAAUCUACGCCCCAAACCUCCCAAAUCCCCAACACUCCACUUCCCAUUUCAGUGAAGCCAACAGGAGAAAAUCCUCCUCCAAAAGUAGAAAUGCCUCCACAGAUGUCAAAUGCCCCCCCCCACCCCCGAGGUACAUUUACAUGUAAUUUGCUCAGUGUAUUAAGUUAACUAUUAAGACAGAUAGAGUUGAACUGACUGUUCAGUGUUCCCCACUUUCCUUUAGUUGAGUUAAUUAAUCUUGAUAACUGAUAAACGGUAGCACUGUAAGAAGGGUCAGAGUUUGAAUUCCGAUUUGCCCGGGGUCUUUCUGUGUGGUCGUUGCAAAGCUCUCGUGACCCUUGACAUCCAAUAUUGAAUCUGUUCAUGAGUCCAAAUUUCCUCGAGGCAUUACUGAAUGUCACGGGACCAAAAACGUGUUUUGUGAAGCCACCUUGACCUUUAACCUUCCUCCAGCCCAAUCAUUUCAAUGAAACCAUAAGCCUGAGUAAACAUUUGGGCUGAAUUUGAAGAAAUUACCUCAAGGCAUUCUUGCAAUUUCAUGUUCACAAAAAUAGGACAGAUGAUGGACAGACGACCAUAAAACGUCGUCAGCUCGACAUCCUAAAACUCAUGUGAUUAACCAAGGUAUAAUUAUCUCUAUAGUGACAUUGAGCCAGAGUGAGUGUUUUAAUUUGACCUAAUUAAAACUUUCUAUUGCAGUAUUCCUACUUGUUCAGACUAAACAAAUCAGACGCAUCACCUUAUGGGACGCUAUGUCGUCUGAAACAUUGUCUGUCUGAAGGUCGGUGUCGCUGUUAAGCAGACUUCUCGUAACCAGUGUCCUCCAGUCACGCUCGGGGCUUUUUAGUGAAGUCUUAUUUAUCUAAAUACCAAAUGCAGAAAAUGUUUAAUGUAGCUUAAGUGGCUGAAAAUGGAGUUUCCAGAGAUUUAUUGGCGAGGGAAUAAUGAUAUUGAAAAGGUCUUAUGUGGGGAAACUGAUGGUCCAUUAGGAACCUUGCAGUUGUAGAUGUUAUGGAUUCAGGGCCACGACUGUGACCUUACAUGUAAUCAAAGUCUAUCACCGAAGAGUUUACGACCUCUAGGCUGUGAAUGCCAACACAUUAACUUUGCCUCGACGUUAAUUUAGGACUUGGAUGCUUUAACCUAUUUAUCCUCAUAGACCAACCGGCGGUCUCAUUAGAAAUCCAAAUGAUCAGCCCAGACUUUGUGCAAGUCUACUGAACUUAAAUGUCAAAGCAAGUCAUCAACCCAGUGAUUGAUGCAAAAUAAGCCCCACAAAAUAACAAGGAAAUAAACAUAAAAUAAUGACAACGCAUCAAAUUUUCCACCCGAAGUGAUGGUACAGCUAAAAUAAAAUGGCAUAUUGGAUUUCACUGAGCAGAUACAGUACGUGAUAUGCAUGGAUUUUUUUUUUUAAUGAAAAAGCAAGGACAGCCGUCCAAGCCUGAAGAUGGAAUGUUGAGUAGAUGUGGGGCGUCACAGAGGUGGUCGACUGUACACUGCAGAUGAAUAUGUGAUUAUGUCUCCCUGACUUAUUUUAAAAGAGACCACAGCUUUUUGUCCGUCAGGUUGUUUUUAAAAAUACAUCAGUCUUCCUCUGGUCUGAUGUGAGCCCCCCCCCCAAAAAAAUUGCAUCUGAAGUAAAAAUAAAACCACAGAUGAAAAUAAAAGACUAGAAAUUUCUCAAACCAUAUUGUUUUCUAAAAGAGCUUUGAACCACCCUGCAUGAACAUUUAUGAUCAAGGACGUGCACAAAUAUUCUGGAGGAAAAGAACAAAACAAUUAAACAGUAAAAGUUGUGAGAAAAAUUCUGGAAAAUUGCAAAAACAAAACAGGAAAAUAUGGUAUUUUUAAUUUCCCCAAAAAGUGAUUAGGAAAAACACUAGAAAAACUGAGGAGAAAAUUCCUACAAUCUCGGAAAAAUCCCCCCCAAAUUUCAGAAAAUGCUGUCACUUUUAUUGUUGGUAAAACCUGAAGGACAAUUUACUCAUGAGAAUAUGCAUCUAUUUAUCCUCCGGGACACGAGACCUUGACUUGACAAGACUGGAUCAUGCAAACGGCUCUGGAUCAUGGUUCCAUGUUUAAUAAACAUCACCAUCACCACUCAGGCCAAACACAGAACUGUUUACUGCAGCGUAAACAAACAGGGACUCUGGGAUCCGUGGAUCAGGAGUCAGAAUUUCUGUUAACUGUGGCACCAAGGUCAGAAUCCUGACAGGUGAUUGUUGUUGAUGAGCUUUAACUUAAACCGUUGUUUCCUCCACCACUUUCUCACACAGAUGUAAUCAAAGUGUUUUUCAUGACGUUUGCUGUCAGUCAGUCCUCAGGAGAUGAAUCUUAAUGAUGCUGGUUGAACCUCUGAAGUUUGUUUUCUUUUUACCCAGAGCUGCGUCAUGGUCCAAGUGGCAGAUUUAAUACGUUCAGCAAUAAAUAUUUUUGUUGCAGAUUUUUAAAGCCAUUUUUAUUCGACUGUUACUGUGAAAAUACGUUGUCGUACACGUUUGCAAAAGGUGAUUCAUUUCCCUUAAUCCAUUUCAUUACAAUUUGAUUUACAAACAUAAAAGGCCAUCGUAAAAAAUAAACAUAAUUAAUUGUA
This is a long non-coding RNA of Hippoglossus stenolepis (Pacific halibut), 3385 nucleotides long. RefSeq lists it as uncharacterized. The transcript is spliced from 5 exons. The record is from RefSeq and is a predicted model, not a curated record. NCBI's taxonomy places the organism in Eukaryota, Metazoa, Chordata, Actinopteri, Pleuronectiformes, Pleuronectidae.